Molecule: ribosomal RNA, 425 nt
Filed under: uncultured archaeon
Lineage: Archaea
Description: bacterial SSU rRNA
Rfam family: Archaeal small subunit ribosomal RNA
Source: RNAcentral
ACCAGCACCUCAAGUGGUCAGGAUGAUUAUUGGGCCUAAAGCAUCCGUAGCCGGCUCUGUAAGUUUCGGUUAAAUCUGUGCGCUUAACGUACAGGCUGCCGGGAAUACUGCAGAGCUAGGGAGUGGGAGAGGUAGACGGUACUCGGUAGGAAGGGGUAAAUCCUUUGAUCUAUUGAUGACCACCUGUGGCGAAGGCGGUCUACCAGAACACGUCCGACGGUGAGGGAUGAAAGCUGGGGGAGCAAACCGGAUUAGAUACCCGGGUAGUCCCAGCUGUAAACUAUGCAAACUCAGUGAUGCAUUGGCUUGUGGCCAAUGCAGUGCUGCAGGGAAGCCGUUAAGUUUGCCGCCUGGGAAGUACGUACGCAAGUAUGAAACUUAAAGGAAUUGGCGGGGAGCACCACAAGGGGUGAAGCCUGCGGUUC